GCAAACUUGGUCAUUUAGAGGAAGUAAAAGUCGUAACAAGGUUUCCGUAGGUGAACCUGCGGAAGGAUCAUUAUUGAAUAAACUUGGUGGGCUGUCGCUGGCUUUACGAAGCAUGUGCACGCUUGCUGACUUUAUCCAUCCACCUGUGCACCUUUUGUAGUCUUGGAAGUUUGAAAGUAGCUAUGGGAGAACUUGGUUCUCCUGGGUUGCGAUCCCUUCUCUGACUAUGUUUUACAUACACUACGUAGCAUGUCACAGAAUGCAUUGAUAAGGCCUUUGUGCCUAUAAACAUCAAUACAACUUUCAGCAACGGAUCUCUUGGCUCUCGCAUCGAUGAAGAACGCAGC
Molecule: unclassified non-coding RNA, 347 nt
Filed under: uncultured fungus
Lineage: Eukaryota; Fungi
Description: partial contains small subunit ribosomal RNA, internal transcribed spacer 1, and 5.8S ribosomal RNA
Rfam family: Eukaryotic small subunit ribosomal RNA (bases 1-73)
Source: RNAcentral